ACGAACGCUGGCGGCGUGCUUCACACAUGCAGGUCGAACGGAAAGGCCCUGCUUUUGUGGGGUGCUCGAGUGGCGAACGGGUGAGUAACACGUGAGUAACCUGCCCUUGACUUUGAGAUAACUUCAGGAAACUGGGGCUAAUACCGGAUAGGAGCUCCUGCUGCAUGGUGGGGGUUGGAAAGUUUCGGCGGUUGGGGAUGGACUCGCGGCUUAUCAGCUUGUUGGUGGGGUAGUGGCUUACCAAGGCUUUGACGGGUAGCCGGCCUGAGAGGGUGACCGGCCACAUUGGGACUGAGAUACGGCCCAGACUCCUACGGGAGGCAGCAGUGGGGAAUAUUGCACAAUGGGCGGAAGCCUGAUGCAGCAACGCCGCGUGCGGGAUGACGGCCUUCGGGUUGUAAACCGCUUUCGCCUGUGACGAAGCGUGAGUGACGGUAAUGGGUAAAGAAGCACCGGCUAACUACGUG
Molecule: ribosomal RNA, 467 nt
Filed under: uncultured bacterium
Lineage: Bacteria
Description: partial 16S ribosomal RNA
Rfam family: Bacterial small subunit ribosomal RNA
Source: RNAcentral